GUGGGGAAUAUUGGACAAUGGGGGGAACCCUGAUCCAGCCAUGCCGCGUGUGUGAAGAAGGCCUUUUGGUUGUAAAGCACUUUAAGCGAGGAGGAGGCUACCGAGAUUAAUACUCUUGGAUAGUGGACGUUACUCGCAGAAUAAGCACCGGCUAACUCUGUGCCAGCAGCCGCGGUAAUACAGAGGGUGCAAGCGUUAAUCGGAUUUACUGGGCGUAAAGCGCGCGUAGGUGGUCAAUUAAGUCAAAUGUGAAAUCCCCGAGCUUAACUUGGGAAUUGCAUUCGAUACUGGUUGGCUAGAGUAUGGGAGAGGAUGGUAGAAUUCCAGGUGUAGCGGUGAAAUGCGUAGAGAUCUGGAGGAAUACCGAUGGCGAAGGCAGCCAUCUGGCCUAAUACUGACACUGAGGUGCGAAAGCAUGGGGAGCAAACAGGAUUAGAAACCCUGGUAGUCC
Molecule: ribosomal RNA, 451 nt
Filed under: uncultured bacterium
Lineage: Bacteria
Description: partial 16S ribosomal RNA
Rfam family: Bacterial small subunit ribosomal RNA
Source: RNAcentral